RNAcentral lists this ribosomal RNA (429 nucleotides) under Pseudomonadota bacterium. RNAcentral's name for it is "Proteobacteria bacterium partial 16S ribosomal RNA". It matches the Rfam family "Bacterial small subunit ribosomal RNA", at positions 355 to 776 of the family's 1533-position model. The record is from RNAcentral. Lineage: Bacteria; Pseudomonadati; Pseudomonadota.
UGGGGAAUAUUGGACAAUGGGCGAAAGCCUGAUCCAGCCAUGCCGCGUGUGUGAAGAAGGUCUUCGGAUUGUAAAGCACUUUAAGUUGGGCGGAAGGGCAGUAAGCGACUACCUUGCUGUUUUGACGUUACCGACAGAAUAAGCACCGGCUAACUCUGUGCCAGCAGCCGCGGUAAUACAGAGGGUGCAAGCGUUAAUCGGAAUUACUGGGCGUAAAGCGCGCGUAGGUGGUUCGUUAAGUUGAAUGUGAAAGCCCCGGGCUCAACCUGGGAACUGCAUCCAAAACUGGCGAGCUAGAGUAGGGCAGAGGGUGGUGGAAUUUCCUGUGUAGCGGUGAAAUGCGUAGAUAUAGGAAGGAACACCAGUGGCGAAGGCGACCACCUGGGCUCAUACUGACACUGAGGUGCGAAAGCGUGGGGAGCAAACAGG